RNAcentral lists this ribosomal RNA (1444 nucleotides) under Salmonella enterica. Its description in RNAcentral is "partial 23S ribosomal RNA". It matches the Rfam family "Bacterial large subunit ribosomal RNA", at positions 1520 to 2925 of the family's 2925-position model. The record is from RNAcentral. Lineage: Bacteria; Pseudomonadati; Pseudomonadota; Gammaproteobacteria; Enterobacterales; Enterobacteriaceae.
GUAGGUGUGUGUUCCAGGUAAAUCCGGUUCACUUUAACACUGAGGCGUGACGACGAGGCACUACGGUGCUGAAGCAACAAAUGCCCUGCUUCCAGGAAAAGCCUCUAAGCAUCAGGUAACAUCAAAUCGUACCCCAAACCGACACAGGUGGUCAGGUAGAGAAUACCAAGGCGCUUGAGAGAACUCGGGUGAAGGAACUAGGCAAAAUGGUGCCGUAACUUCGGGAGAAGGCACGCUGACACGUAGGUGAAGUGAUUUACUCAUGGAGCUGAAGUCAGUCGAAGAUACCAGCUGGCUGCAACUGUUUAUUAAAAACACAGCACUGUGCAAACACGAAAGUGGACGUAUACGGUGUGACGCCUGCCCGGUGCCGGAAGGUUAAUUGAUGGGGUCAGCGCAAGCGAAGCUCCUGAUCGAAGCCCCGGUAAACGGCGGCCGUAACUAUAACGGUCCUAAGGUAGCGAAAUUCCUUGUCGGGUAAGUUCCGACCUGCACGAAUGGCGUAAUGAUGGCCAGGCUGUCUCCACCCGAGACUCAGUGAAAUUGAACUCGCUGUGAAGAUGCAGUGUACCCGCGGCAAGACGGAAAGACCCCGUGAACCUUUACUAUAGCUUGACACUGAACAUUGAGCCUUGAUGUGUAGGAUAGGUGGGAGGCUUUGAAGUGUGGACGCCAGUCUGCAUGGAGCCGACCUUGAAAUACCACCCUUUAAUGUUUGAUGUUCUAACGUGGACCCGUUACCCGGGUUGCGGACAGUGUCUGGUGGGUAGUUUGACUGGGGCGGUCUCCUCCUAAAGAGUAACGGAGGAGCACGAAGGUUGGCUAAUCCUGGUCGGACAUCAGGAGGUUAGUGCAAUGGCAUAAGCCAGCUUGACUGCGAGCGUGACGGCGCGAGCAGGUGCGAAAGCAGGUCAUAGUGAUCCGGUGGUUCUGAAUGGAAGGGCCAUCGCUCAACGGAUAAAAGGUACUCCGGGGAUAACAGGCUGAUACCGCCCAAGAGUUCAUAUCGACGGCGGUGUUUGGCACCUCGAUGUCGGCUCAUCACAUCCUGGGGCUGAAGUAGGUCCCAAGGGUAUGGCUGUUCGCCAUUUAAAGUGGUACGCGAGCUGGGUUUAGAACGUCGUGAGACAGUUCGGUCCCUAUCUGCCGUGGGCGCUGGAGAACUGAGGGGGGCUGCUCCUAGUACGAGAGGACCGGAGUGGACGCAUCACUGGUGUUCGGGUUGUCAUGCCAAUGGCACUGCCCGGUAGCUAAAUGCGGAAGAGAUAAGUGCUGAAAGCAUCUAAGCACGAAACUUGCCCCGAGAUGAGUUCUCCCUGAGACUUAGAGUCUCCUGAAGGAACGUUGAAGACGACGACGUUGAUAGGCCGGGUGUGUAAGCGCAGCGAUGCGUUGAGCUAACCGGUACUAAUGAACCGUGAGGCUUAACCUUACAACGCCGAAG